GUCGGCUAGUUUUUUUGUAUUUUAGUAGAGGCACGGGGGUUCCACUUGGUUAGCCAGGAUGUCUUCGGUCUCCUGACCUCGUGUCGCCCGUCUCGGCCUCCCAAAGUGCUGGGAUUACAGGCUUGAGCCACCGCGCCCGGCCGCAUUUUUUUUUUAUUUAAUUUUUUGAGAUGGAGUCUUGCUCUGUUGCCCAGGAUGGAGUACAGACCAGCUCACUGCAACCUCCGCCUCCCGAGUUCAAGCAUUUCUUCUGCCUCAGCUUCUCAAGUAGCUGGGAUUAGAGGUGCACACCACCACACCUGGCUAAUUUUUUUGUUUUUAGUAGAGACAGGGUUUCACCAUGUUGGUCAGGCUGGUCUCGAACUCCUGACCUCAAGUGAUCUGUCUGCCUCAGCCUCCCAAAGUGCUGGGAUUACAGGCGUGAGCCACCAAGCCUAGCCUGAAUUUACUUUUAACGCCUCUGUUCUUUGAGCUCUGGCAGGGAAGAAGUGCCUGGAUCCCUUGAGGUGGGCUCUAAGCAUGACCUAUGGAAAGGCAGUGACUUUUGUUGCUGCAGCAGUGGAGAGAAGCCACUCUGAGCUGACUCUGUCCAACCCAGGAAUGCCGUGGUCUGAGAACAGCCUCCCAGGCAAGAGGGAACCCCAACAAACGCCGGCUUUGUUUCUGCUACUGAGUUUCCCAGUUUAGAUUCUGCUCCCCCGACUCCACUGCCCAACUGGUUUAACCUUUCCUUAGCCCAGCAAUCAGAGCCUCCAGGCCCAGGAGGAUGAAAAGAACAUGGAGACAACGGGAGGCUCCAAAUGGAGUAGCCCUCUGCCAGCUCACAUCCCUCUUUCAGGGGCUGCAGCUUGGACAUCCCAGGACUGGCCAGCCCACAGGAGGCAAAGAGGGCUCUCCGUUACCUCAGGAAGUCCGACGUCAGCCCCAGCUGUCCUCUGCCCCAGGGAAAGCAGUGAAGACUGGUCUGCGUGUGUCUCCCAUGAACAGAGCCGUCCCAGAUGUGUUCCUCGCAGGUGGAGACCAGGUGCCCCGAGGCCACACUCGCCGCUGUCUUUCUGCAGUUGAAUCCAGAGAGCAACUGGAGGAAGAAGAGGCGGGGGAAAUAAAGGAGGGGAAUGGCUCGCAUGCUGUACCCCUCCGAAGGUCGGGGGCUUUCCGGGCCCGUGGCCGCAACUAUGACGUCUUCAAAAGACAUAGUUGGGGGCCUGGCAGGGAGCUCGAGGACCCACUGACUAGGUAAGCCCCCAGGGAACCUCCUGUACCUCCUUCCCUCCAGGCCUAGACCUUGGAGAAAAUGGGAAAGUGAGAAAGAACUAGGUAACUCUCUAGUUAUCUCCCUCAAGAGACAACCAUCCGAAGAACGACAGGAGUCGAGGAGACCUGGGCCCCCAGUCCUUUCCCUGGAGAACCGGAGCUCAAUCCCACUGGUGGGCCUUUGGGGAGGAUGGAUGCUGCCUUCCAAAAUAUGCCUCUCGCCAGUGGCUCUUAUCUCCUUCUCUCAGGGCAGAGUGAGGGUAGUCGUGGGUGGGAGGUGUGGAGUCAGGGUGAGUAUCAGGACACUGGAUCUUCUUGCUUCCGCCUCCUACGGUGGGUUUCAUAGAACCACAUAAUGGUGUCAUAGAACCACAGAAAGAACUCAGAGAGCAUAUGGCACGAUCUCCUCAUUUUACAGAUAAGGAAACUGAGGCCCAAAGAACUUUCAGAGAUUUUUUUUUUUUGAGACGCAGUCUGGCUCUAUUGGCAGGCUGGAGUGCAGUGGCGCGAUCUCGGCUCACUGCAACCUCUGCCUCCCGGAUUCAAGCAGUUUUCCUGCCUCAGCCUCCUGAGUAGCUGGGGCUAAAGGUGCGUGCCACCAUGCCCAGCUAAUUUUUGUAUUUUUAUUAGAGACGGAGUUUCACCAUGUUGGCCAGGAUGGUCUCAAUCACUUGACCUUGUGAUCCGCCCACGAAGUGGUGGCCUCCCAAAGUGGUGUGAUUACAGGGGUGAGCCACACGCCUAGCCGUGAACUUUCAGAGAUUUCUUGAGAGAGGUGGUCACAGGGUGGGACAUUGGGCCUGCCCCAUUGCCAGGUCCUUGCCGGGCUUUUGGUUGCAGGCUGAGGACAACCCAGGAUGCCUUAGAUUAACUCAUGGUCCUGCAUUGCCACGUGAGAUCAGUUGUUCUUGCUCAGACUUCUGCAUAUACUUGGUGGACUGGAGCAGAAAAAUCAUCUCUUCCCCCUCCCGUGGAAAACCCCUGACCACUUCCCCAAAGUCAGAGGAAGUCAGAAAGAGAAGGUCCGGGGGUCAGCAUGAAGAGUUCAGUGUGAGUGAACAUUGUAGGGGCUGCUGGCCAUGGAAGGGCACUGUCUUUCUGCUUUGAAAAUGGUCCCCUUGAACAAGUUCUUUUAGCUCUGGUGAGUGGACCAAACUUCCCUAGCUCCUGGGCAGGGCUGGCUGGUUUGAGUGAGGGGAGAGGACCCUGGGCCUUGUCCCUGAACUGGCUUGGGUGGGAACGCAGAUGAGAAGCAAUGCCUGCAGGGCUCAUGGCACCUUCCUAAGGGUAGCUGGCUGGAAGAGAGAUGCCCAAAUGCCUGGGCCCCCCUAUGUGGCACCAACUGUAUCUCAGGGUCUUUCAAGCGUCACCCACCUUUCACAGUCAGGUAUUAAUUCUGCCCCUUGGUUAGAGAGGGAAGGGAGUCCUGAGUGCACUA
This 2692-nucleotide long non-coding RNA is filed under the name Macaca nemestrina (pig-tailed macaque). RNAcentral describes it as "lncRNA (ENSMNEG00000045875.1)". The record is from RNAcentral. Lineage: Eukaryota; Metazoa; Chordata; Mammalia; Primates; Cercopithecidae.